CCUCUCUAGGUUUCUUACCCAUCAGACCUAAACACUGGACUGAAUGAUUAAAAAUGUGGAAAAGUAAAACUUGAAACAGAUGUAAGCUAUUUUGUGAUACACGAGCUAAUUUUAAACAAGC
Molecule: small nucleolar RNA, 121 nt
Filed under: Echinops telfairi (small Madagascar hedgehog)
Lineage: Eukaryota; Metazoa; Chordata; Mammalia; Afrosoricida; Tenrecidae
Description: Small nucleolar RNA SNORA61 (ENSETEG00000025451.1)
Source: RNAcentral